GAGAUUUCUAUUUUUACUUUCUGUAG
RNAcentral lists this non-coding RNA (26 nucleotides) under Cricetulus griseus (Chinese hamster). Lineage: Eukaryota; Metazoa; Chordata; Mammalia; Rodentia; Cricetidae. The record is from RNAcentral.